RNAcentral lists this microRNA precursor (106 nucleotides) under Glycine max (soybean). RNAcentral describes it as "miR10443 stem-loop (gma-MIR10443)". Lineage: Eukaryota; Viridiplantae; Streptophyta; Magnoliopsida; Fabales; Fabaceae. The record is from miRBase by way of RNAcentral.
UGUUACCGCAUCGACUGAGAACAACAUAAUUCAUGAACUCUUAUUAAUUAUUUUAUUUAUUGGAAUUAUCGUCUCAUUAUGAGUGUUUUUAGAUCACGAGGUAAAA